AACCGGUAUCCAUGGAGCAGACGGAACCUGUUUCUAUGGAGGAACCCAAAGGUAUCAGUAAAUUUGUGCGAUAUGUUGUGUGUCAGCGAUCCAUUUCAGGGAGAGGUGUCUUUCUGAGAAAUGCUGGAAGCAGCAUCAUGAGUCAUCUUAGGUGCUACAAAAGGUGUGUGUCAGCUCCUUCUUAAAAAAAAAAAAAAAAAAAAAAAAAAAAAAGAAAAAACACUGGUUCCAUGACCUUUUGUUUCUGUUCAGCAGCACCAGCCUCUGUGGGAACACACACUGGAGCAGAACCCAAAGAGAAAGAAGACGCUCCAGAAGAAGAGACAAAAGAACCUGUUGAAAAGAAGGAGAUAAAAGGUAUUUCUCAACGCUGCUGCUUUGACAUGGCACAUGUGAACACCAGGGGGUGUUUAUUUUUAUUUUUAUAUUCUGAGAAACUGGAUUAAAAUCCUGGAAGGAUUUCCACGAGAAGAAAUUGCUUGAAAUAAAUUCAGAUUGGUUUAAUGUUUAAACUUUUUCCAUUUUAGCUCCAGAAGCCAAUCUAACAGCACCUGAGCAAAUAUCGAAAGUAGAAGGUAAAUAUUUAUUCAAAUGAGAGCACUAUGCUUCCGGCUGGGAAUAGUUUAGGUUAAUAGUUGAGUCUCUUCCUGUGCUGCAAAUGGAGGUGUCUGAGGAUAAGAAAACAUAAAAACAUAAAAUACUAAAUAGAGGUUUAUAGUACAAUAACACCUGCCUUCUGACUAUUCUACAGUAUUAUGACAAAUAUAAUAAAUGCUGUGUGGCUUGUGACAAAACCGCAGUAGAAAUAGAUUAGUUAUGAUUAUUUAUAAAUUGUGGCUUUCUUAUUCUUAUAAAUCAUGGCAUGCCUCUCAUUUCUUGUUAAAGCUGCCCCCUGCAAACCGAUGCCCGUGUACUGUCCUGCCCCGCCAGGCUGGUAUGUGCAUCAUAUUGUGACGGACAAUCCAUUCCCGCCGACACCGAUGACAGUUUCCGAAGUUCCUAUAUUAACGAGCCACCCGAUCCACCCAGCCCUGCACUUCUUCCCUCCAAAACAAGAACCUGAGGCAAAUCUACCUACUCCUACUCCAAAGAAAGAGCCCGAGGCGUCUGAAGAGGUGGCUCCACCAGCGCUGGGAAAGAAAGAGCCCAGACCUUGCAAAGAGAAACCCGCACAAGCCCCUGUAAAGAAAGGAGCUAAGAUUCACAAAGAGAAGGCUAAAUAUCCCCCUGUAAAGAAAGGUAUCACUCGGUUUUACAUUCUUUUUUUUUUUUUAAUUUUGUCUGUCUGUUUCUGUCUGGCUUUCUUUAUUUUUUUUUUAUUUAUACUAACUAUUUCCUGCUUGGGGUGCUUUACAAUGGACUGGCAUCCCGUCCUGGGUGUGUCUCCUCCUCCUCCAGCCUUGUGCCCUGUGUUGUCGGGUUAG
This 1424-nucleotide long non-coding RNA is filed under the name Scleropages formosus (Asian bonytongue). Its description in RNAcentral is "lncRNA (ENSSFOG00015025440.1)". The record is from RNAcentral. Lineage: Eukaryota; Metazoa; Chordata; Actinopteri; Osteoglossiformes; Osteoglossidae.